AACAUAAUCAGAAUUAUUUUUCAAAAGAGGAGAGAAGAAAAAUGCGAAAGACGAGGGAAUCCACAGAGUUCAAUCGUGAAGGACGACGUCGAUCGAUCGUUUGAAUGCUUCAAGUGCGGCGUUUCUCCUCCUUAAUCUUCUGUGAGAGGAAAAAAGAAAGAAAAUGUAAAUUGAAGCCUGAGAGUUCAGCAAGCUUUGAGACUCCAGUUUCUGAUUCAGUUAAAGAAAUACAAGACAACGCAACGAACGGCCAAGAUUUCAUGGAAAAAGUACAAAAGCAUGGAUUCAAAAUUUCGCCACCAUUAAAUUGAUUCAAGAGGUUGCUCCGCGUCAUCUUUACUUUGAUAUCAGUUGAUUCCUAGAUAUCAGUUGUUCUAGAAGCCUCAAAUUGAAAGUAUUCGAUUCAAGGAAGCUUUGACUGGACACUAGAGCUUGAUUCCUCAAACAAGUGUGAGGAAGACAUGUUCGUGGCAUCCUUGGUCUGCAACGUCGAUGCUGAGUGUGAGAAACUUCUGGUUUGCGAAACGGAAUUACACUGCGUAAAGACAUUGCAAUUUGAUAUGGAGGAGAUAUGUAAUUUUGGACGGUUUGUUGAAUCAGCUGCCUCAACCGGAAAUGUAUCAGUGAUGUAUGUUGUCGACCUUACGACGGCUGUCUAUUACCAAAAGUGUCACGAUCCAGAUUGUGGAGGUUACCGAUCUCCACUGCGUCCAAGUCCAAUUGAUGCCAUUCCUAAUCCUCGGGUCUCCACGGAUUCAGAACAGAUAUCAAAUGGCAUAGAGUCGUCCAACUGAUGCCAUCUUCGUGCAUGCGUUUCCAACUCGAGAGCCGCUACGUUUCGGAUGCAAGGUAAGCAAAAAUCCCUGAACGCCUAAUUAUUUUCUGAACUCUUUGAUAUUGUCCAUAGUUAAUUGAGCUUAAGAGUCAAAUUGUUCUGCUCCCCUCUCUAAGCUCCACACCAUUAGAGGAUCGGUUUUAUUAACACAAAUAGGAUAAAUUUCUAUCUCGAUCGCUAUUAGCCAUGGUUCGAAACAUGAAAUUAAAUAGUAAUUUUACAAAAGCUUGACAUAAAUCUGUUACAUUCAAAAGCGUCGCUAUAGUAAAUUAGCCCCCCACCUUUUGAAAAUGAAAACUCAAGAUAUUACUAAAUGUUAAAACUACCAGUUUUUCUUCCAAUUUCAUUCUCUUAUUAAGCUGGUAAAAUUGUGGUACAGCGGAAGGUUUUUAGCCUUGGUUGAUAUACACAAAUGAAGAAUAGGAAAAGGGAGGAAGAAGGAGGGGGUUACUGCCACCGUGAGUGUGGUGAGUAGAAAGAGAGAGUGAGUUAGUGAAA
Non-coding RNA from Cucurbita pepo subsp. pepo (vegetable marrow), 1333 nucleotides. NCBI's taxonomy places the organism in Eukaryota, Viridiplantae, Streptophyta, Magnoliopsida, Cucurbitales, Cucurbitaceae. The record is from RefSeq and is a predicted model, not a curated record.